RNAcentral lists this ribosomal RNA (540 nucleotides) under Lendenfeldia plicata. RNAcentral's name for it is "eukaryotic LSU rRNA". It matches the Rfam family "Eukaryotic large subunit ribosomal RNA", at positions 705 to 1218 of the family's 3401-position model. The record is from RNAcentral. Lineage: Eukaryota; Metazoa; Porifera; Demospongiae; Dictyoceratida; Thorectidae.
AACCAGAAGGCGCAAUGAAAGUGAAGGCACGGCCGCCGUGCCGAGGUGAGAGCUGCCGCACGGCAGCGCAUCAUCGACCGAUCCCAUCCGCUCCCCCGUGGUGCGGCGGGAUUCGAGUAAGAGUGCAUCUGUUGCGACCCGAAAGAUGGUGAACUAUGCCUGAAUAGGGUGAAGCCAGAGGAAACUCUGGUGGAGGCCCGUAGCGAUUCUGACGUGCAAAUCGAUCGUCAAAUUUGGGUAUAGGGGCGAAAGACUAAUCGAACCAUCUAGUAGCUGGUUCCCUCCGAAGUUUCCCUCAGGAUAGCUGUAGCCCGAAGCAGUUUUAUCAGGUAAAGCGAAUGAUUAGAGGUAUCGGGGAAGAAACUUCCUCGACCUAUUCUCAAACUUUAAAUAGGUAAGAAGUCCGACUUGCUCAAUCUGAAGCCGGACGCAGAAUGCUGGGUUACUAGUGGGCCAUUUUUGGUAAGCAGAACUGGCGAUGCGGGAUGAACCGAACGCCGAGUUAAGGUGCCAAAGUCGACGCUCAUCAGAUCCCACAAA